ACUAGAAGCUCUUGGGAGCAUGUGGACAGUUGUGGCUGCUCCUGAGCUGACACUAACUGCUCAUGACUCCUCUGUGGGAGAAGUAGGUGGUUUCCUAGAGGAAGAAGUUUGGGUAAUGAAGCCACAGAGAUUUGCUGAUACAUUUGCUAGGCACGACUUCUGGUCAUUUAGAAAGCUAUUUUGUGGCUUCAUCAAUAAGGUAUUCCCCAGCUGUGUUACUCCUUCGCAUUGUUAUCUCUUUCCCUGGAAUUGAAGGCUUCCUGGUCUGAGGCAAGGACAAUUAUUCCCUCACUGUCAACCCUGAUCUCUGGCUGCAGUAAUGAAUGAAGAAAUAAGAAUGGAAGCAUAAUCAUUUGUCCGAGGUCACAGAGGGAGAUGAUUACACAGCUGGAAUAAACUCUCCUCCUUCAAUACCUGACUACUUGCACCAUCCAGCAGAUAUCCUCUACUACCAAGUCUCAACAGAUGGUUCAGCUGGUCUUUAAUGAACAAAAGGCAUUUGUGUAAUGGACUCUUAUUGCUCAAGAAGAAUUUCUUCCUUCCUGAAACAUGAGGAGAAACUGACAAAAACUGUCUCCUUGACCAAACCCUAGUCAGUUGCCUAUAAGCCCUGUAGGCUGUGACCUUAGUGUCUAUCCUUAUCAGACACGCAUUACACAACCAUAGCAACAGUCUUGCUAAGUUGGUUUAACCAGAACCCCUACCCUUGAUAUCUGAUUUAAUUUAUAAUUCCCCUGAGUCCCCGAGGUGACAUCCAUUCAUCCUGGCCAGCUUUCAAUAAGAAUCCUAUUGGAUUAUUUAGCUAGAAAUCACCCCUUACACUUAAUGCUUCCUUUUAGUAAUUUUGCAUCCACUAACCCCGACCUUGCUCGUUGGCUAUAAAUCCACAAGUUGUCCGUGUUGUGUUUGGAAUUGAUUACAAUUCUAUAUUGAGGUCUCUUUUCCCAUAUUGCAAUAGUUCCUGAUUAAAAUCUGCUUUUGCCCAUUGAUAUGGUUUGGUUGUGUACCCACUCAAAUCUCAUCUUGAAUUGUAGCUCCCAUGAUUCCCAUAAUUGAAUCAUGGCAGCAGUUUACCCCAUACUGUUCUUGUGGUAGUGAAUAAGUCUCAUGAGAUCUGAUGGUUUUAUAAGGGGUUUCCACUUUCACUUGAUUCUGACUCUCUUUUGUUUGCCGCUAUGUAAGACAUGCCUUUCACCUUCUGCCAUAAUUGUGAAGCCUCCCCAGCCACAUGGAACUGUGAGUCCGUUAAACCUCAUUUUCUUUAUAUAUAAAUUACCCAGUCUCAGGUAUGUCUUUAUCAGCAGCAUGAAAAUGGACUAAUACACUCCUUUAACUGUGUAGCUCUGGUGUUCUUUGAUGAGCUAGAAACUGUAAAUCUCUGGAAGUCAAAUCUUCAUUUGAACUGGUUGUUAUAUAUUAUUGAUUCUCUCAAUUAUUUAGUUAAAUAAAAGUCUUGACAUGUUAAA
This 1466-nucleotide long non-coding RNA is filed under the name Homo sapiens (human). RNAcentral describes it as "long independently transcribed non-coding RNA 973, transcript variant 10 (LINC00973)". The record is from RNAcentral. Lineage: Eukaryota; Metazoa; Chordata; Mammalia; Primates; Hominidae.